GACGAACGCUGGCGGCGUGCUUAACACAUGCAAGUCGAACGGAAAGGCCCUGCUUUUGUGGGGUGCUCGAGUGGCGAACGGGUGAGUAACACGUGAGUAACCUGCCCUUGACUUUGGGAUAACUUCAGGAAACUGGGGCUAAUACCGGAUAGGAGCUCCUGCUGCAUGGUGGGGGUUGGAAAGUUUCGGCGGUUGGGGAUGGACUCGCGGCUUAUCAGCUUGUUGGUGGGGUAGUGGCUUACCAAGGCUUUGACGGGUAGCCGGCCUGAGAGGGUGGCCGGCCACAUUGGGACUGAGAUACGGCCCAGACUCCUACGGGAGGCAGCAGUGGGGAAUAUUGCACAAUGGGCGGAAGCCUGAUGCAGCAAUGCCGCGUGCGGGAUGACGGCCUUCGGGUUGUAAACCGCUUUCGCCUGUGACGAAGCGUGAGUGACGGUAAUGGGUAAAGAAGCACCGGCUAACUACGUG
This 468-nucleotide ribosomal RNA is filed under the name uncultured bacterium. RNAcentral's name for it is "partial 16S ribosomal RNA". It matches the Rfam family "Bacterial small subunit ribosomal RNA", at positions 28 to 507 of the family's 1533-position model. The record is from RNAcentral.